Oncorhynchus keta (chum salmon) is the source of this 428-nucleotide long non-coding RNA. RefSeq lists it as uncharacterized. The transcript is spliced from 4 exons. The record is from RefSeq and is a predicted model, not a curated record. Lineage: Eukaryota; Metazoa; Chordata; Actinopteri; Salmoniformes; Salmonidae.
UCUGAUGACCCCUAUCGCAGGUAUGGGUGGAUGGGGUUGGGUGGGGAGGAGAAAUGCCUGUUCCUAACCCUCGAUGACCCCUAUCGCAGGUAUGGGUGGAUGGGGUUGGGUGGGGAGGAGAAAUGCCUGUUCCUAACCCCCGAUGACCCCUAUCGCAGGUAUGGGUGGAUGGGGUUGGGUGGGGAGGAGAAAUGCCUGUUCCUAACCCCCGAUGACCCCUAUCGCAGGUAUGGGUGGAUGGGGUUGGGUGGGGAGGAGAAAUGCCUGUUCCUAACCCCCGAUGACCCCUAUCGCAGGUAUGGGUGGAUGGGGUUGGGUGGGGAGGAGAAAUGCCUGUUCCUAACCCCCGAUGACCCCUAUCGCAGGUAUGGGUGGAUGGGGUUGGGUGGGGAGGAGAAAUGCCUGUUCCUAACCCCCGAUGACCCCUA